AUGCGUUAUUACUGACAUCCUGAAAUUAGAACGUUUCACUGUUCUGAUGAAUGUUCUGUUGUGCUGGAGGGAACAUGCUCUUCCCACCAGAAUGUGCAGAGCCUACCAAAGACUGGAACAGAUGCUGGUGGCUACUUAACCUCUGCCUUGUGCUACCCUGCUGCUACAGCAGGACAUUGCAGAUUCCUAUCAGCUAAACAUGGGUGUGCAAAGAAAGCAGGGCUAUAAAUAAUGCAACCAGCAACAUCAUGAAAAGAGUAGAAGAAAUUCAAACAAUAACUAUGCUAACUGGAAAUAUUUUAUUGUUCAAUGAAAAACAGCUGAGCUCCAUCACAAAAGGCCACUUUCAUUGGAAGUGCUGACUGUGGCCAAGAAAGGAAAGGAAAUUCCAUGAGAGAAGGGUUUUCCUUACAGA
This is a long non-coding RNA of Tympanuchus pallidicinctus (lesser prairie-chicken), 415 nucleotides long. RefSeq lists it as uncharacterized. The record is from RefSeq and is a predicted model, not a curated record. NCBI's taxonomy places the organism in Eukaryota, Metazoa, Chordata, Aves, Galliformes, Phasianidae. The transcript has 3 exons.